This 493-nucleotide ribosomal RNA is filed under the name uncultured bacterium. RNAcentral's name for it is "bacterial SSU rRNA". It matches the Rfam family "Bacterial small subunit ribosomal RNA", at positions 30 to 518 of the family's 1533-position model. The record is from RNAcentral.
UGAACGCUAGCGGCAGGCUAACACAUGCAAGUCGAGGGGCAUCGGGAGUAGCAAUACUUGCCGGCGACCGGCGCAAGGGUGCGUAACGCGUGAGCAACAUGCCCGUAUCAGGGGGAUAAUCCAUGGAAACGUGGUCUAAUACCCCAUAGUAAUUAUGUAAGGCAUCUUAUAUAAUUUAAAGCUUUGGUGGAUACGGAUUGGCUCGCGUGACAUUAGCUGGAUGGUAAGGUAACGGCUUACCAUGGCUACGAUGUCUAGGGGUUCUGAGAGGAAGGUCCCCCACACUGGAACUGAGACACGGUCCAGACUCCUACGGGAGGCAGCAGUGAGGAAUAUUGGACAAUGGAUGGAAAUCUGAUCCAGCCAUGCCGCGUGCAAGGAAGACGGCCCUAUGGGUUGUAAACUGCUUUUGUAUGGGAGCAAUAAGGGCUACGUGUAGUCCGAUGAGAGUACCAUACGAAUAAGCACCGGCUAACUCCGUGCCAGCCGCCGC